UUGAAAGGGAAACGAUUGAAGUCAGUCGUACCGACGAGAAAUCAACCUAUCGUGUGCGAACUUGUGGGCGUGCGUGAGUUUCGGCCUCGCUGUUUGCAUGUUUGUGCGUUUUGAGUGUACUUUUUCGUAUGGUAGGCCAACGUCAGUUUCGAUUAUCAUAAAAUGACCGGCGGAAUGUAGCUUUCGAUCUCGGUUGAAGUGUUAUAGCCUCUGGUAGAUGUGGUGAUUGAGACUGAGGAUUGCAACGAAUACCCUUUGGGCUAUCCGUCUGGCCUCUGAAAGUUGCUCAGGUGCCGAAAGCGUGCUUACGGUUAUCUAAGAUAACGUUCACAGGUUAGAACGUGAUUACAUUUCGUUAAGGAUGUUGACGUA
This 372-nucleotide ribosomal RNA is filed under the name uncultured Glomeromycotina. Its description in RNAcentral is "eukaryotic LSU rRNA". The record is from RNAcentral. Lineage: Eukaryota; Fungi; Glomeromycota.